ACGUAGGUGGCAAGCGUUGUCCGGAAUUAUUGGGCGUAAAGGGCGCGCAGGCGGCUUCUUAAGUCUGUCUUAAAAGUGCGGGGCUUAACCCCGUGAUGGGAUGGAAACUGGGAAGCUCAGAGUAUCGGAGAGGAAAGCGGAAUUCCUAGUGUAGCGGUGAAAUGCGUAGAUAUUAGGAGGAACACCAGUGGCGAAAGCGGCUUUCUGGACGAAAACUGACGCUGAGGCGCGAAAGCCAGGGGAGCGAACGG
RNAcentral lists this ribosomal RNA (251 nucleotides) under uncultured bacterium. Its description in RNAcentral is "partial 16S ribosomal RNA". It matches the Rfam family "Bacterial small subunit ribosomal RNA", at positions 525 to 775 of the family's 1533-position model. The record is from RNAcentral.